RNAcentral lists this long non-coding RNA (353 nucleotides) under Canis lupus familiaris (dog). RNAcentral's name for it is "lncRNA (ENSCAFG00845028370.1)". The record is from RNAcentral. Lineage: Eukaryota; Metazoa; Chordata; Mammalia; Carnivora; Canidae.
CGCGAGCCGCGGGGGCGGGGGCGGGGGGCGGGGCGGCCGGCGCCCCCGACACCCGGAGCCGAGCCGGCGGCCGGCGGGGCGCGCGGGGAGGGGCGAGCGCGGCCGCGGGUCCGGGGGGCGGGCCGAGCCAGCGCAGCCCCGCGGGCUCCGAGCGGCCCCGCAGCGCGCCCCGAGCCCCGCGCCCCGCGCCCCGCGCCCCGAGCCCUUCCCGCACCCCGGGAGCCGUCGCCCCCGCGCACCUUCGCGGCGCACCCCGAGCCGACCCCCGCGUGGGCGCCGCCGGCUGCGCGCGUCUCCCGUGGACCCUCCUGCGGCAGAGCGACUACUUGGGAGAACAAAGAUGUAGAAGGAGG